This 497-nucleotide ribosomal RNA is filed under the name uncultured bacterium. Its description in RNAcentral is "partial 16S ribosomal RNA". It matches the Rfam family "Bacterial small subunit ribosomal RNA", at positions 28 to 507 of the family's 1533-position model. The record is from RNAcentral.
GACGAACGCUGGCGGCGUGCCUAAUACAUGCAAGUAGAACGCUGAAGCUUGGUGCUUGCACCGAGCGGAUGAGUUGCGAACGGGUGAGUAACGCGUAGGUAACCUGCCUGGUAGCGGGGGAUAACUAUUGGAAACGAUAGCUAAUACCGCAUAAGAGUAGAUGUUGCAUGACAUUUGCUUAAAAGGUGCAAUUGCAUCACUACCAGAUGGACCUGCGUUGUAUUAGCUAGUUGGUGAGGUAACGGCUCACCAAGGCAACGAUACAUAGCCGACCUGAGAGGGUGAUCGGCCACACUGGGACUGAGACACGGCCCAGACUCCUACGGGAGGCAGCAGUAGGGAAUCGUCGGCAAUGGACGGAAGUCUGACCGAGCAACGCCGCGUGAGUGAAGAAGGUUUUCGGAUCGUAAAGCUCUGUUGUAAGAGAAGAACGAGUGUGAGAGUGGAAAGUUCACACUGUGACGGUAUCUUACCAGAAAGGGACGGCUAACUACGUG